AGGUGGUGCAUGGUUGUCGUCAGCUCGUGUCGUGAGAUGUUGGGUUAAGUCCCGCAACGAGCGCAACCCUCGCCUCUAGUUGCCAGCAUUCGGUUGGGCACUCUAGAGGGACUGCCGGCGACAAGUCGGAGGAAGGUGGGGAUGACGUCAAGUCCUCAUGGCCCUUAUGGGUAGGGCUUCACACGUCAUACAAUGGUCGGUACAGAGGGUUGCCAACCCGCGAGGGGGAGCUAAUCCCACAAAGCCGAUCGUAGUCCGGAUCGCAGUCUGCAACUCGACUGCGUGAAGUCGGAAUCGCUAGUAAUCGCGGAUCAGCAUGUCGCGGUGAAUACGUUCCCGGGUCUU
RNAcentral lists this ribosomal RNA (345 nucleotides) under uncultured Rhodocyclaceae bacterium. Its description in RNAcentral is "bacterial SSU rRNA". It matches the Rfam family "Bacterial small subunit ribosomal RNA", at positions 1036 to 1382 of the family's 1533-position model. Lineage: Bacteria; Pseudomonadati; Pseudomonadota; Betaproteobacteria; Rhodocyclales; Rhodocyclaceae. The record is from RNAcentral.